UGGCUCAGAACGAACGCUGGCGGCAAGCUUAACACAUGCAAGUCGAACGGACCAAAUCUGUAGCUUGCUACGGAUUUGGUUAGUGGCAGACGGGUGAGUAAUGCAUAGGAAUCUACCUAGUAGUAUGGGAUAGCCACUGGAAAUGGUGGGUAAUACCGUAUAAUCCCCGCGGGGGAAAGAUUUAUCGCUAUUAGAUGAGCCUAUGUCGGAUUAGCUAGUUGGUGGGGUAAUGGCCUACCAAGGCAGUGAUCUGUAGCUGGUCUGAGAGGAUGAUCAGCCACACUGGAACUGAGACACGGUCCAGACUCCUACGGGAGGCAGCAGUGGGGAAUAUUGGACAAUGGGCGCAAGCCUGAUCCAGCUAUGCCGCGUGAGUGAGGAAG
RNAcentral lists this ribosomal RNA (383 nucleotides) under Anaplasma capra. RNAcentral describes it as "bacterial SSU rRNA". It matches the Rfam family "Bacterial small subunit ribosomal RNA", at positions 20 to 413 of the family's 1533-position model. Lineage: Bacteria; Pseudomonadati; Pseudomonadota; Alphaproteobacteria; Rickettsiales; Anaplasmataceae. The record is from RNAcentral.